UUUGUAUACUGCACCAGUGCAGGAUCUGAGAAUUGACUAGAGGACCUUGCUGAGCAUUUGGCUUCACCAUGUCUUCUAACGAGAAUGACAUUCAAGAUGCUCCCUCAAAGAGGGGAGCAGGAGCAACAGAACUUGCUGAGCAGAGUGGCCAGUCUGCCCUUGGUCAAUGCUGCUUAUGACAUGGUCUCCACCACUUGCACAUCCAUCAGAGACCCAUCCCGUCAUCAGAUCCAUCUGUGAUGUGGCAGAGACUGGAGUGAGGACCAUCACCUCUGCCAUGUCAGUGGGGCCCAGCCCAUCCUGGACCAGCAAGAGCCUCAGGAACUGUUAGUCUCAACAGCCCGUGACUACGCCUGCGAGAGCCUGAACAAACUGGAGGAGAAGCUGCCCGUCCUCCAACGGCCAGGUAAC
This is a long non-coding RNA of Dermochelys coriacea (leatherback sea turtle), 411 nucleotides long. RefSeq lists it as uncharacterized. The record is from RefSeq and is a predicted model, not a curated record. Lineage: Eukaryota; Metazoa; Chordata; Testudines; Dermochelyidae. The transcript has 4 exons.